This is an RNA transcript of Argentina anserina (silverweed cinquefoil), 2291 nucleotides long. It is a transcript of the gene named APO protein 4, mitochondrial-like, with no coding region annotated. The transcript is spliced from 4 exons. NCBI's taxonomy places the organism in Eukaryota, Viridiplantae, Streptophyta, Magnoliopsida, Rosales, Rosaceae. The record is from RefSeq and is a predicted model, not a curated record.
AGUCUUUCAUCUCUCUUUGACUCUCCUUGCGGGAAACCCUGCAAGUCAGCAACCCACUGCUCAGCCGCCCACUCCUCCGGCCUCCCUCCGCCACACCCCUUCUGGCCCUUCAUUCAUCUCUUUUUGACUCUCUCCUUGGCCCUUGCGCGACAAACCCAGCAACCCAGUGAACCCACUGCUCAGCCAGUCGGCCGCCCACUCCUCCGGGCUCCGUCGAUUUCACCUUCUGACACAAAGGCAUAACAGUAAGCCAUGGCUGCGAGGAGAAAAUUGGGGGAGAUUUCCAAUUUCAACUUUAAAAUUAUGUCGAGCUUUUCGAGGUAUUACAGCUCAAACAGGGUGGACUUAAAGAACCUGAGGCCUAUGAUUCUGAAAAGAAUCCAAGACCGAGCUAAGGACUAUCCGGUGCAGAGCAUGAUACCAGUGGCAGAGGAGGUCCUCAAUUCCCGGAGGCUUCUUAAUCAGGGUGUCUCCACCCUCCUUAAAGUGAUCCCAGUUGUGGCCUGCAAGUUCUGUCCCGAAGCAUACAUUGGUGAUAAAGGUCACUUAAUCCAGACUUGUAGUGGUUUCAAACGUCGUGGCAAAAAUCGGGUUCAUGAGUGGAUAACUGGUAGUGCGAAAGAUGUACUUGUUCCAGUCGAGGCAUUUCAUUUGAAGCACAUGUUCCAGGAUGUAAUCAAACAUAACCAAAGGUUUGAUUAUGACCGUGUUCCUGCAGUUGUUGAGCUGUGCUGGCAAGCAGGGGCAAAUGAUGAAAAUUUGUACUCUGGUACUUGGAACCCAGAAAGUGAUUGUGUUGCUGUUGAAGGAGCUGAGUCCUUGUCACGUAAUGAAAUCUCUCUGGUUGCCAAUGGAACUUUGAGGGCCUGGGAAAGACUUAGAAAUGGUGUCAAGAAAAUACUGAUGGUUUAUCCAGCAAAAGUGUGUAAAGACUGUUCAGAAGUCCAUAUUGGGCCAUCUGGGCAUAAGGCGAGGCUUUGUGGACUUUUUAAGUAUGAGCGUUGGCAAGGAACCCACUUUUGGAGAAAAGCAUCUGUAGAUGAUCUUGUUCCUCCAAACAUUGUAUGGCGGAAGCGGCGUCAAGAUCCUCAUGUGCUCUUGGAUGAAGGAAAAGGCUAUUAUGGGCAUGCUCCAGCAGUGGUAGAACUAUGCUCUAAGGCAGGUGCCAUAGUGCCUUUAAAGUAUCAUUGUAUGAUGAAAAUGGAGGGUAUAUCUGCUGUUGCAAAUCAAGGUUUACCCCUUCCGCCGUUUAACCUUACAGAACCGUAGACUCUGCUCCAUCCGAAAUAUCAUGUUUAAAUGCAGUUGAUACACUGGGAAGUAGAUGACAAGCGGAAGCUCCCCUGUGAAGAAUACAUAAAUGAAAUGGGUGGUGGGAAGUUGAUGCCUUGAAGGGGACAUGCAGAUAUUGAUUAUUCACACUGAUUGAAGCCAUCAGAAUAAUGGAGAUGAAGUCUGAAAUAUGAUCAACAUCUAUUAAUCUAUAUGAUUUUUAUGACCUUAACGAUUGGUCCAGUCGCCAUCUUGGUUACCACUUAUUGAAGAUUCUAUUAACAGUCGAACAAUGAAUCAUGAAGAUAGCUCAGUGAAAAUGCCCGAUAUUGCACCACUAUCUUGGAGCAUGUCAGAGCUGAGAAAUUUUUAUGGUUCUGUUUCUUCUGGCGAUGGUUUUUGUUGGAAAGUUUCUCCAGAAAUCAAUGAACCGAGAGUGAAAGCAGUGCAGGCCGCAUGGCUAGACAUUGGAAAAGUAAAACUUGACGAUAAUCUGAAUCUUACUGGACUGGUUUACAUGAGGUUCCAUGCAUUUAAUGGUGAGAUCAAUUUUCGUACCUUCAGUGACAAUUGGAUAGUCUUCCAUGUCUAGUCCAUCUUCCAACUCCCAUUCGGACACUGCAAGGGUUUGUGAAGACGCCGGGAUGCCCAAGAGUUGCUCCACCUUCCUUUUGAUUUCUAGAACAGCUUCUUUCAGACCCACUUCUAUGGUGAAUUCAUGUCCCCAGGUAUCAAUGAUUAUCACUCUCAUAGUGUCACACUGUCACUGAUUGUUUUAUUUGCUCUAAAAGGCUAUGAAAUCAAUUAAGAAUAAGAACACUGGAGGUGAGGUUGAUUUUUUUCCUUCUGUUAUUUAUUUCCCCCUUUCAGUCAAACAUGAAAUUGGAUUGAAACAGAUUUCUACUGUCUUUAUGUUCAGAAUUGAGGGAUCAAAUUUAGAUCUCAGAGUCAUGUAAAAUAUAUGAGUACUCUCAUCAUACCGUUUGUAUGUGGAAAAUCCGGAAUGCAUUCUCAACUCU